AAAUAUAACUUCAUGCCCAUGGAGUCCACAAAAAUUAAGGUGAGGAGAGCAAAGGAGAAGAAAUGACCAAGGAUACAGGAGAAGGAGUGAGAGACAGCCGCCUUCUGGAAGCCAGUGAAGGAGACGUGUGAAGGAGAACAUGAGCUGUGUCGAAGACAGCCUAUGGGCUGAGUAAGACAAUAAAACCUUGACCACUGGGUUGGUAAACACCUGUGAAAGCCUUCAGCUGUCUCAGUUCAGCAGAGGGACAAGAAGUUGAUUGGAGUUGGUUCAAGAGAGGAGAAAAGUAAAGGAUGUGGAGACGGUAAGUGUAAUUAUCACUUCUGAGAUUUGCUGCAAAGAGAAGCAAGGUCAGAGGUAGAAGGGACUGUGGCAUUGGGGGAGGGCUCUUUCAAGAUGGAAAAUAUUAAAUGUGGUUGUGCAGAAAAGAAAUGUUAAAGCAGGAGCAAGGGGAGGGAUUUGCAGAGAAAGUUCCUAGAGCAGAUUAUAGGGGGUGGGUGCCGUGCCCAAGAAGGGCUGCCACAGAGGGCAGACUGAGCAGGAAUGGUCUAAGAGGGGGCACUACAGGCUGCAGAGAGGCGGUCCGGGAGAUGGGGUGCUGAGAACACAUGGGAGAUCUCUGGCUGCUUCAGUUUUCCCAAGGAAAUACCUAGCAAGAUCAUCAGAUGAGAACUAUUGAGAAGGAGGUUAGGGCCUUUGGAGGAAAGUUGUAGAACAAUGGCCUAAUGUAAUAGGAGAACAAAGGCAGUCGUUUAGUUGCUAAGUCAUGUCCGACUGUUCCCAACUCCACAGACUAUAGCCAGCCAGGCUCCUCUGUCCACAGGAUUUCCCAGGCAAGAAUACUGGGUGGAUUGCCAUUUCCUUCUCCUGGGAAUCUUCCUGACCCAGAGACUAAACUCAGCUUUCCUGCACUGACAGGCAGAUUCUUUACUGCUGAGCCACCAGGGAAGCUCAAGGCAGGAGAGAGAAGUAAUGUGUUUCCUGGCAAUGCUAAGAUUCCACUUGAGAUUAGUGGUCAUUCAUUUAUUUUUUUAUUUAAAGUUGUCACAAUUGUAUGCUUUUCUCCAACCUUGGUCUGCUACCUAGAUGAGAAUAUUCACAGCAAGAUUUAAGGAAAGACUGAGGGGCUUCUGGGACAGCACUAGGGUCAAUCAGAGUUCCCUGUGAGGUUAAGUGAGUUCUUGGUGCCUUAGACAUUUGGGGGAAAUGAAUGGGAAGCAUAAGAUAUGGUUUUCAGAGAAUGAGACUCUAAGUUAAGCUUAUGAAGAGUGACAGAGAUGUUGGUAAUAAGUUCUAGAGAAUGAUCAUGAAAGUGGGUAUUGAGGAAGGAUGGAAAAAUAGUUGAUGAUCCAGGAAAGGAGGGUCCAUUUCUCUUCUGUGAUGCGGAGGGCAGUGCCGAGGCUGCAGAGUGGAGUCUGAGAGUAAGAGUGGGAUGAAGCUGUGGAAUCCUUUGGCUGCCGCACUCACCACGGGAGAACUCACAGAGAAUGCUGCUGUGGGAGCUGGUACCACUCCGCGGCUUUCCUCUUCUGCCGUGUCGAUGGCAUAUUCAUACACAUGGAAUCCUGUGGACAGCUCCUGGCAGCUAGGACAGGAGUAAAUCCAUGUAUGCAAACUUUGGUGCCUUAAAACCUCUCCCUGCUUCACUUUCCUCCUCUGAAAUGUGAAGAUGGAGUACCCGCACCUGUGCAGAUGAGGCCUCUCGGGUGGGAGACAAAGCUGAGGAUGGAGAAAGAAACACCUGGUCGUGAGCCAGAGGUCAGCUAGAGCUGCUGCCAUUGGUCUCCACCCCAGAACUUGCAGCGGCCCAAGACGUUUCAUUCAGACCUGCACGUCCAAGCUAUAAUGAAGACAAGGAGCUGAACCAGGAGCAGAAGCAGGUUAAGCUGAGCCCCCACCUCCCACCCGGUGAAGCACCCUCCCUCAGAACCCGUCCAUCAGGAAGCAGCAUCACCUAAGAACAUAAAUGCCUGCACUGAAGCUUAGCAUCCAGUCCAGCUGUUCCAACAGACCAAUUGGAAGUACAAGAAUCAAAAAUAGGUUUGCAGAGAGAUGAUCUCUUCUCCCAUAAUAAAU
Molecule: long non-coding RNA, 2076 nt
Organism: Bos taurus (domestic cattle)
Lineage: Eukaryota; Metazoa; Chordata; Mammalia; Artiodactyla; Bovidae
Source: Ensembl